This 496-nucleotide ribosomal RNA is filed under the name uncultured bacterium. RNAcentral describes it as "partial 16S ribosomal RNA". It matches the Rfam family "Bacterial small subunit ribosomal RNA", at positions 29 to 507 of the family's 1533-position model. The record is from RNAcentral.
ACGAACGCUGGCGGCGUGCCUAAUACAUGCAAGUAGCACGCUGAAGGAAGGAGAUUGCUCUUUCUGGAUGAGACGCGAACGGGUGAGUAACGCGUAGGUAACCUGCCUGGUAGCGGGGGAUAACUAUUGGGAACGAUAUCUAAUACCGCAUAAAAUUGAUUAUUGCAUGAUAGUCAAUUAAAAGGUGCAACUGCACCACUACCAGAUGGACCUGCGUCGUAUUAGCUAGUUGGUGGGGUAACGGCUCACCAAGGCGACGCUACAUAGCCGACCUGAGAGGGUGAUCGGCCACACUGGGACUGAGACACGGCCCAGACUCCUACGGGAGGCAGCAGUAGGGAAUCUUCGGCAAAGGGCGGAAGUCUGACCGAGCAACGCCGCGUGAGUGAAGAAGGUUUUCGGAUCGUAAAGCUCUGUUGUAAGAGAAGAACGAGUGUGAGAGUGGAAAGUUCACACUGUGACGGUAUCUUACCAGAAAGGGACGGCUAACUACGUG